CUUCUGGUUCUCAGGCCUGUGGAUAAGAAUGGUUUACAUCACUGGUGUUCCUGGUUCUCAGGCUUGCGCACAGCAGAUCAUGGGACUUCUCGACCUCCAUAAUUGUGGCAGCAAACCACAGAAACAGUAACACGAGCUGACUCUGAGUAUAGUAGUAUUUGAAGGUAACUAUGCAGGCCAAUCUAGAAGCGAUGACUUAUGGAUAUUCUUAAUGAUCAAAGUAGCAACGUAAUGUUUUACCAGACAUCACAGAUACUCCACAGAGAAAGGAUGAUAUACCAGUUCACUUAAGAAGAUCAUGCAAUUCUAGUAUCUAGUCAUACCAUAACAAAACUGUUGUGUAGUAGCUACAGUUUCAUUUGAAUCUAAGAUAGCAUUCUCG
Non-coding RNA from Manis javanica (Malayan pangolin), 382 nucleotides. Lineage: Eukaryota; Metazoa; Chordata; Mammalia; Pholidota; Manidae. The record is from RefSeq and is a predicted model, not a curated record.